This 667-nucleotide ribosomal RNA is filed under the name uncultured bacterium. RNAcentral's name for it is "bacterial SSU rRNA". It matches the Rfam family "Bacterial small subunit ribosomal RNA", at positions 67 to 724 of the family's 1533-position model. The record is from RNAcentral.
CGGCAGCGCGGGGGCAACCUGGCGGCGAGCGGCGAACGGGUGAGUAAUACAUCGGAACGUGUCCCGUAGUGGGGGAUAGCCCGGCGAAAGCCGGAUUAAUACCGCAUAUGCUCUACGGAGGAAAGUGGGGGACUCGCAAGGGCCUCACGCUAUGGGAGCGGCCGAUGUCCGAUUAGCUUGUUGGCGGGGUAAUGGCCCACCAAGGCGACGAUCGGUAGCUGGUCUGAGAGGAUGAUCAGCCACACUGGGACUGAGACACGGCCCAGACUCCUACGGGAGGCAGCAGUGGGGAAUUUUGGACAAUGGGGGAAACCCUGAUCCAGCCAUGCCGCGUGCGGGAAGAAGGCCUUCGGGUUGCAAACCGCUUUUGGUCGGAAAGAAAAGGCGCCACCUAAUACGGGGCGUUCUUGACGGUACCGGCAGAAUAAGCGCCGGCUAACUACGUGCCAGCAGCCGCGGUAAUACGUAGGGUGCGAGCGUUAAUCGGAAUUACUGGGCGUAAAGCGUGCGCAGGCGGUUCUCCAAGUCCGUUGUGAAAGCCCCGGGCUCAACCUGGGAAUGGCAGUGGAAACUAGGGGACUUGAAAUCUGGCAGAGGGGGGUGGAAUUCCAAGUGUAGCAGUGAAAUGCGUAGAGAUGUGGAGGAACAACCGAUGGCGGAAAGGCAG